Molecule: long non-coding RNA, 228 nt
Filed under: Mytilus galloprovincialis (Mediterranean mussel)
Lineage: Eukaryota; Metazoa; Mollusca; Bivalvia; Mytilida; Mytilidae
Source: RNAcentral
CACAAAAAAUCAUCAUGAUUAUACAGGUUAAAACGAUUAUUAACUUUUUUUUUGUAAUCUAUAAUAUAAAAUUAAACAGACCUAAUAUCUAUUUAUAUCUAUAUUUAUGUUUACAUCGCUUAUAUGGCAUUCGGAGGUCUUCGGGGGUCAACUCGACAGUUAAUUAAAUGGGGUCUAGACUAAAAUACACACGACACGAAGCUACAUAUUAUCUAGUCCAUGCCCGGU